RNAcentral lists this ribosomal RNA (517 nucleotides) under uncultured Georgenia sp. RNAcentral describes it as "bacterial SSU rRNA". It matches the Rfam family "Bacterial small subunit ribosomal RNA", at positions 521 to 1035 of the family's 1533-position model. The record is from RNAcentral. Lineage: Bacteria; Bacillati; Actinomycetota; Actinomycetes; Allobogoriellales; Allobogoriellaceae.
UAAUACGUAGGGUGCAAGCGUUGUCCGGAAUUAUUGGGCGUAAAGAGCUCGUAGGUGGUUUGUCGCGUCUGCUGUGAAAACCUCCCGCUCAACGGGGGCCUGCAGUGGGUACGGGCAGACUAGAGUGCAGUAGAGGAGUCUGGAAUUCCUGGUGUAGCGGUGGAAUGCGCAGAUAUCAGGAGGAACACCGGUGGCGAAGGCGGGACUCUGGGCUGUUACUGACGCUGAGGAGCGAAAGCAUGGGGAGCGAACAGGAUUAGAUACCCUGGUAGUCCAUGCCGUAAACGUUGGGCACUAGGUGUGGGGUCCAUUCCACGGAUUCCGUGCCGUAGCUAACGCAUUAAGUGCCCCGCCUGGGGAGUACGGCCGCAAGGCUAAAACUCAAAGGAAUUGACGGGGGCCCGCACAAGCGGCGGAGCAUGCGGAUUAAUUCGAUGCAACGCGAAGAACCUUACCAAAGGCCUUGACAUACACCGGUAACGGCCAGAGAUGGUCGCCCCCCUUGUGGUCGGUGUAC